RNAcentral lists this ribosomal RNA (987 nucleotides) under Salinicola sp. RNAcentral's name for it is "bacterial SSU rRNA". It matches the Rfam family "Bacterial small subunit ribosomal RNA", at positions 54 to 1034 of the family's 1533-position model. The record is from RNAcentral. Lineage: Bacteria; Pseudomonadati; Pseudomonadota; Gammaproteobacteria; Oceanospirillales; Halomonadaceae.
CCUGCAGUCGAGCGGCAGCACGGGGAGCUUGCUCCCUGGUGGCGAGCGGCGGACGGGUGAGUAAUGCAUAGGAAUCUGCCCGGUAGUGGGGGAUAACGUGGGGAAACCCACGCUAAUACCGCAUACGUCCUACGGGAGAAAGCAGGGGAUCUUCGGACCUUGCGCUAUCGGAUGAGCCUAUGUCGGAUUAGCUAGUUGGUAAGGUAACGGCUUACCAAGGCGACGAUCCGUAGCUGGUCUGAGAGGAUGAUCAGCCACACUGGGACUGAGACACGGCCCAGACUCCUACGGGAGGCAGCAGUGGGGAAUAUUGGACAAUGGGCGAAAGCCUGAUCCAGCCAUGCCGCGUGUGUGAAGAAGGCUUUCGGGUUGUAAAGCACUUUCAGCGAGGAAGAAAGCCUCUGGGUUAAUACUUCAGAGGAAGGACAUCACUCGCAGAAGAAGCACCGGCUAACUCCGUGCCAGCAGCCGCGGUAAUACGGAGGGUGCGAGCGUUAAUCGGAAUUACUGGGCGUAAAGCGCGCGUAGGUGGCUUGGCACGCCGGUUGUGAAAGCCCCGGGCUCAACCUGGGAACGGCAUCCGGAACGGCCAGGCUAGAGUGCAGGAGAGGAAGGUAGAAUUCCCGGUGUAGCGGUGAAAUGCGUAGAGAUCGGGAGGAAUACCAGUGGCGAAGGCGGCCUUCUGGCCUGACACUGACACUGAGGUGCGAAAGCGUGGGUAGCAAACAGGAUUAGAUACCCUGGUAGUCCACGCCGUAAACGAUGUCGACUAGCCGUUGGGACCUUUAAGGACUUAGUGGCGCAGUUAACGCGAUAAGUCGACCGCCUGGGGAGUACGGCCGCAAGGUUAAAACUCAAAUGAAUUGACGGGGGCCCGCACAAGCGGUGGAGCAUGUGGUUUAAUUCGAUGCAACGCGAAGAACCUUACCUACCCUUGACAUCCAGAGAAAUUGGCAAAAAUGCCUUCCUGCCUUCGGAAAUCUGAGA